UGAAUGUACCGGAAGAAUAAGGAUCGGCUAACUCCGUGCCAGCAGCCGCGGUAAUACGGAGGAUCCAAGCGUUAUCCGGAUUUAUUGGGUUUAAAGGGUGCGUAGGCGGCCUGUUAAGUCAGGGGUGAAAGACGGUAGCUCAACUAUCGCAGUGCCCUUGAUACUGAUGGGCUUGAAUGGACUAGAGGUAGGCGGAAUGAGACAAGUAGCGGUGAAAUGCAUAGAUAUGUCUCAGAACACCGAUUGCGAAGGCAGCUUACUAUGGUCUUAUUGACGCUGAGGCACGAAAGCGUGGGGAUCAAACAGGAUUAGAUACCCUGGUAGUCCACGCCCUAAACGAUGAACACUCGCUGUUGGCGAUACACAGUCAGCGGCUAAGCGAAAGCG
RNAcentral lists this ribosomal RNA (387 nucleotides) under uncultured bacterium. RNAcentral's name for it is "bacterial SSU rRNA". It matches the Rfam family "Bacterial small subunit ribosomal RNA", at positions 470 to 859 of the family's 1533-position model. The record is from RNAcentral.